This 253-nucleotide ribosomal RNA is filed under the name uncultured bacterium. Its description in RNAcentral is "partial 16S ribosomal RNA". It matches the Rfam family "Bacterial small subunit ribosomal RNA", at positions 524 to 776 of the family's 1533-position model. The record is from RNAcentral.
UACGUAGGGGGCAAGCGUUGUCCGGAUUUACUGGGCGUAAAGGGCGCGUAGGCGGCCCGCUAAGUCGAACGUGAAAUCCCCGAGCUCAACUCGGGAACUGCGUCCGAUACUGGCGGGCUUGAAUCCGGGAGAGGGAUGCGGAAUUCCAGGUGUAGCGGUGAAAUGCGUAGAUAUCUGGAGGAACACCGGUGGCGAAGGCGGCAUCCUGGACCGGCAUUGACGCUGAGGCGCGAAAGCUAGGGGAGCAAACGGG